This 610-nucleotide ribosomal RNA is filed under the name uncultured bacterium. RNAcentral's name for it is "bacterial SSU rRNA". It matches the Rfam family "Bacterial small subunit ribosomal RNA", at positions 9 to 617 of the family's 1533-position model. The record is from RNAcentral.
GAGUUUGAUCCUGGCUCAGGACGAACGCUGGCGGCGUGCUUAACACAUGCAAGUCGAACGGAGUGCCUCGGAAAGAGAUUUCGGUCAAUGGAAGAGGUUACUUAGUGGCGGACGGGUGAGUAACGCGUGAGGAACCUGCCUUUCAGAGGGGGACAACAGCUGGAAACGGCUGCUAAUACCGCAUAACAUAUAGGUAUCGCAUGGUGUCUAUAUCAAAGAUUUAUCGCUGAAAGAUGGCCUCGCGUCUGAUUAGCUAGUUGGUAGGGUAACGGCCUACCAAGGCGACGAUCAGUAGCCGGACUGAGAGGUUGGCCGGCCACAUUGGGACUGAGAUACGGCCCAGACUCCUACGGGAGGCAGCAGUGGGGAAUAUUGGGCAAUGGGCGCAAGCCUGACCCAGCAACGCCGCGUGAAGGAAGAAGGCUUUCGGGUUGUAAACUUCUUUUAAGAGGGAAGAGUAGAAGACGGUACCUCUUGAAUAAGCCACGGCUAACUACGUGCCAGCAGCCGCGGUAAUACGUAGGUGGCAAGCGUUGUCCGGAUUUACUGGGUGUAAAGGGCGUGUAGCCGGGUUGACAAGUCAGAUGUGAAAUCCUGCGGCUUAACCGCA